AUUUGGCAGUGAGGAUGAACAGACAGCUUUAGAAUGCCAGUUCUGCUUCUGAAAAUUCUUGAUUGAUACAGCUGUUUUGUAUUCUGAGCCCUCU
Molecule: small nucleolar RNA, 94 nt
Organism: Malania oleifera
Lineage: Eukaryota; Viridiplantae; Streptophyta; Magnoliopsida; Santalales; Ximeniaceae
Source: RefSeq, a predicted model, not a curated record